Molecule: ribosomal RNA, 547 nt
Filed under: Alternaria sp. E9100b
Lineage: Eukaryota; Fungi; Ascomycota; Dothideomycetes; Pleosporales; Pleosporaceae
Description: eukaryotic LSU rRNA
Rfam family: 5.8S ribosomal RNA (bases 183-336)
Source: RNAcentral
CUGCGGAGGGAUCAUUACACAAAUAUGAAGGCGGGCUGGAAUCUCUCGGGGUUACAGCCUUGCUGAAUUAUUCACCCUUGUCUUUUGCGUACUUCUUGUUUCCUUGGUGGGUUCGCCCACCACUAGGACAAACAUAAACCUUUUGUAAUUGCAAUCAGCGUCAGUAACAAAUUAAUAAUUACAACUUUCAACAACGGAUCUCUUGGUUCUGGCAUCGAUGAAGAACGCAGCGAAAUGCGAUAAGUAGUGUGAAUUGCAGAAUUCAGUGAAUCAUCGAAUCUUUGAACGCACAUUGCGCCCUUUGGUAUUCCAAAGGGCAUGCCUGUUCGAGCGUCAUUUGUACCCUCAAGCUUUGCUUGGUGUUGGGCGUCUUGUCUCUAGCUUUGCUGGAGACUCGCCUUAAAGUAAUUGGCAGCCGGCCUACUGGUUUCGGAGCGCAGCACAAGUCGCACUCUCUAUCAGCAAAGGUCUAGCAUCCAUUAAGCCUUUUUUCAACUUUUGACCUCGGAUCAGGUAGGGAUACCCGCUGAACUUAAGCAUAUCAAUA